RNAcentral lists this ribosomal RNA (468 nucleotides) under uncultured bacterium. RNAcentral describes it as "partial 16S ribosomal RNA". It matches the Rfam family "Bacterial small subunit ribosomal RNA", at positions 28 to 507 of the family's 1533-position model. The record is from RNAcentral.
GAUGAACGCUGGCGGCGUGCUUAACACAUGCAAGUCGAACGGAAAGGCCCUGCUUUUGCGGGGUGCCCGAGUGGCGAACGGGUGAGUAACACGUGAGUAACCUGCCCUUGACUUUGGGAUAACUUCAGGAAACUGGGGCUAAUACCGGAUAGGAGCUCCUGCAGCUUGGUGGGGGUUGGAAAGUUUCGGCGGUUGGGGAUGGACUCCCGGCUUAUCAGCUUGUUGGUGGGGUAGUGGCUUACCAGGGCUUUGACGGGUAGCCGGCCUGAGAGGGUGACCAGCCACAUUAGGACUGGGAUACGGCCCAGACUCCUACGGGAGGCAGCAGUGGGAAAUAUUGCGCAGUGGGCGGAAGCCUGAUGCAGCGACGCCGCGUGCGGGAUGACGGCCUUCGGGUUGUAAACCGCUGUCGCCUGUGACGAAGCGUGAGUGACGGUAAUGGGUAAAGAAGCACCGGCUAACUACGUG